UGGGGAAUUGUUCGCAAUGGGCGCAAGCCUGACGACGCAACGCCGCGUGGAGGAUGAAGGUCUUCGGAUUGUAAACUCCUGUUGACCGGGAAGAAUCGGCGCCGACCUAAUACGUCGGCGUCAUGACGGUACCGGUUGAGGAAGCCACGGCUAACUCUGUGCCAGCAGCCGCGGUAAUACAGAGGUGGCAAGCGUUGUUCGGAAUUACUGGGCGUAAAGGGCGCGUAGGCGGCCACUUGAGUCAGACGUGAAAUCCCCGGGCUUAACUCGGGAACUGCGUCUGAUACUGAGUGGCUGGAGUUCGGGAGAGGGAUGUGGAAUUCCAGGUGUGGCGGUGAAAUGCGUAGAUAUCUGGAGGAACACCGGUGGCGAAGGCGGCAUCCUGGACCGAAACUGACGCUGAGGCGCGAAAGCCAGGGGAGCAAACGGG
This 430-nucleotide ribosomal RNA is filed under the name uncultured bacterium. RNAcentral describes it as "bacterial SSU rRNA". It matches the Rfam family "Bacterial small subunit ribosomal RNA", at positions 355 to 776 of the family's 1533-position model. The record is from RNAcentral.